UACGGGGGGAGCAAGCGUUGUUCGGAUUUACUGGGCGUAAAGGGCGCGUAGGCGGCGUGACAAGUCACUUGUGAAAUCUCCGGGCUUAACUCGGAACGGUCAAGUGAUACUGUCGUGCUAGAGUACAGAAGGGGCAACUGGAAUUCUCGGUGUAGCGGUGAAAUGCGUAGAUAUCGAGAGGAACACCUGCGGCGAAGGCGGCAUCCUGGACCGACACUGACGCUGAGGAGCGAAAGCCAGGGGAGCAAACGGG
RNAcentral lists this ribosomal RNA (253 nucleotides) under uncultured bacterium. RNAcentral describes it as "partial 16S ribosomal RNA". It matches the Rfam family "Bacterial small subunit ribosomal RNA", at positions 524 to 776 of the family's 1533-position model. The record is from RNAcentral.